RNAcentral lists this ribosomal RNA (201 nucleotides) under uncultured bacterium. RNAcentral describes it as "partial 16S ribosomal RNA". It matches the Rfam family "Bacterial small subunit ribosomal RNA", at positions 1301 to 1500 of the family's 1533-position model. The record is from RNAcentral.
CAGGCUGCAACCCGCCUGNACCGAAGUUGGAAUUGCUAGUAAUCGUGGAUCAGCAUGCCACGGUGAAUACGUUCCCGGGUCUUGUACACACCGCCCGUCACACCAUGGGAGUCGGUAACACCCGAAGUCAGUAGUCUAACCGCAAGGAGGACGCUGCCGAAGGUGGGAUUGACGACUGGGGUGAAGUCGUAACAAGGUACC